Toxorhynchites rutilus septentrionalis is the source of this 808-nucleotide long non-coding RNA. RefSeq lists it as uncharacterized. Lineage: Eukaryota; Metazoa; Arthropoda; Insecta; Diptera; Culicidae. The record is from RefSeq and is a predicted model, not a curated record. The transcript has 3 exons.
GGAAAAACUCCGAAAAAUUAAACUAUGUUGGAUUUCCUGGCUUGAGAUCAGCCGCCGAGAAAAUGCCAAUAUUUUUGCCUCGAUCAUCUAUGAGCUCGUACGAGCUGCAUCCUCUCCGGGAAACGAUCGUACAUGGCGUAUACAACGGACCUAAUUUAGCGUUGUACGAGUUGGCUGCCGAGGAUUGAGUGAAAUUCCUUUUGAAAACUCUUUGGCCUACCUUAUAAACUGGGGCCGUUUUUUGACUACGAAGGUUAACUCUCGUCGAUGUCCGGAUCACAAAGAUGAUCUUCGCCACUUACGAGUGAUUCGUGACCAAACAAUAUUUUGUGGGGUGUGAAAUUCGUGGAAGAAUGGACUGUAUUGUUUAGGAUAUACUCGACUUCAGAGAUUUUUGUGUCCCAAAGACGUUGAUCCAUUUUAACGUACGUCCGGAUACACGAAUUGAUGUUCCUAUUGACCCGUUCUACGGGGUUGGCCUGACUGUGGUACCGCGAAUUAGUCCAGUGCUGGACUUUAUAGUGCCCUAAAAAGGACUUGAACUCUUUACUCAGGAAACAGGAUUUUAAUGACGGAUGUUGAGGAAAUCUUUUUGACCGGAAAUAAAAGUGUCCAUUUCGAGAAUAAAUCGAGGAGAACCAGGAGAUGCAUGUUUCCAGAUUUAGAGCGAGGCAACGUCUGGAUAAAAUCCAUAGCCAGAAUCUGAAAAGGCUUCGUUACCAAGCGCUGAUUCCCCAUUGGAGGAUGCUGCGACACAUAUGACGGUUUACAUUCCCUACAUGUCUGACAUUGCGAAACGUACUUUUUA